GAGCUCAGAAGUGUUUAUAACCUACUGUGCAGUUACUAAACAGCUUAUAUGAGGCUCUGAAGUAACACAAUGCAGAAGAUGUUGUAUUCAUUAGUAAUCCUAAACGUGUUACUAACAACGUUGAAUUUAGUUUUUUGUGAUGGAAAUAAGGAAGAAAUCUGCACAGAAACAGCACCCAUUUCUGAAAGUUCAAGCAUAAAGAAACCAACUGAACAUAGUAAAGUAUCAAAUAAAAAGUUUCUUCCCCGUUCCUCCCGCGGGAAAAGGGUUGGAUCAGAAUUACUUGAUGUAGGAGGAUAUAUUAAAGUGCAUAUAUGAAGAGUGGUAAUGGAGGAGGCGGCAGAUGUUACUAGUAUCCACCACGUGAUGUCUAUGGAGCAUCGCCACCUGAAAUAUACUACGUCAAGUCUUCUGUUUGUAAUAACUGCUAAUAAUUGGAAUUAAACUAAACUACCCAUCCAG
Long non-coding RNA from Homalodisca vitripennis (glassy-winged sharpshooter), 462 nucleotides. RefSeq lists it as uncharacterized. NCBI's taxonomy places the organism in Eukaryota, Metazoa, Arthropoda, Insecta, Hemiptera, Cicadellidae. The transcript has 2 exons. The record is from RefSeq and is a predicted model, not a curated record.